AAAAAAAAAAGAAGAGGAGGAAUUGUAUUCUGGAAGUAUACUUAAGAAACUCUAUGGAGAGGUCCACGUGGCAAGGAACUGAGCCCUCCUGCUACGAGCCAGUGAGGAACUGAACCCUCCAACUACCAACCACGUGGGGCAGCCAUCUUGGAAACAGAUCCUCCUGCCCCGGUUAAGACUUCAGAUGACUACAGCCAAUCUCUUGACUGAAACCUCAUAAGACUCUUGAACUAGAACCAACUGACUCCCAAAACUGUGUAAGGUGAUGUCCACUGGUCACUUAUGUGUACCCUCUCUGUCCCGAUAUGGCUCCAGGACACUGACAUCAGAUGAUAUUUCCAAGGUCCAACUCUCCUCCACAGCCUGCCAAAGCUGGUCAAAAAGAGGAGUCACUUCCCUCAAGGAUGAACUGUAAAGGAAUGCCUGCCACUUAGAACACGGCCCAAGUUCCUGAGCACAGCUUUCGAGGCUCUCACCACCUGACCCCCGUAAACCUGGCCAGCCACAUCCUCAUGCCUCCUUUCCUGCAUCACCUGCUCCAGCGAACUAAAGCAGCAAGGUGCCCUGAAGGUCUCCACCCAUCUCUGAACCCCCCUAUUUCUGCUAAGCCAUUAUCUUUCUCCUGCACUUAACACAACUGAGGGGCUCAAAGACAGAGCCAUAGUCUAUAAACCCUGUGAAAUUUCACCAUGCAACUUUUUGAAAAUCCUUGUCAGACAAUUCCAAAUAGACGCUAGCCAUCCAAUUGUGUCCCAUGCACCCGUGCAAAUUUAAUAAACAGAU
RNAcentral lists this long non-coding RNA (783 nucleotides) under Homo sapiens (human). RNAcentral describes it as "HSALNT0388136". Lineage: Eukaryota; Metazoa; Chordata; Mammalia; Primates; Hominidae. The record is from RNAcentral.